Molecule: long non-coding RNA, 1553 nt
Filed under: Citrus sinensis (sweet orange)
Lineage: Eukaryota; Viridiplantae; Streptophyta; Magnoliopsida; Sapindales; Rutaceae
Description: long non-coding RNA (CSIN_LNC002619)
Source: RNAcentral
UUUAAUAUCAAUAUGUCUAUUACUGAUUUGAGUUUGUCCCCCCCCGAGCACUAUUGUCAAAUCGAGACAAAUUACGAAAAAUAAAAAAAGAUAAUGCUUGAUCCAUUAGUUUCUGUUUUCCCUUUGUCUUUAUAAGAAGGCAUGCAUAUUCAUUCACUCAAUACUUGAUCCAAUACUCUCUCUACUUCGGAGAGUUGUCGGAGUUUAAUUUUCACGAUGGGUAGAAAACAUCCUUUAGCUAAUUUCUUGAUUCUCCUCUUGAACUUGGGUACGUUACUAUCUUCUUUAGCAUGUCCAUAUUGCCCUUAUCCUACUCCUCCCCCUCCGUGUCCCCCAACAUUUCCACCAAAACACCCUCCGCAUGUAAAGCCACCUUUCCACCCCAAACCACCGCAUCACAAGCCACCCCAUGUCAAACCACCGCACAAGCCCCCGUAUGUUCCUAAACCACCUUACACACCAAGGCCUAAACCGCCUUACACGCCAAAACCACCUUAUACGCCAACCCCUAAGCCACCAUAUUUCCCCAAACCACCUUACACACCAAGGCCUAAGCCACCGUAUGCGCCAAAACCACCUUAUACGCCAACCCCUAAGCCACCCUAUUUCCCCAAACCACCUUACACACCAAGUCCCAAAACCACCUUACACCCCAACUCCUAAGCCACCGUAUGUCCCUAAACCACCGUAUGUACCAUCACCACCUUAUACCCCUCGCCCUAGACCACCGUAUGUACCAUCGCCACCUUAUACCCCUAGUCCUAAACCACCGUAUGUGCCAUCACCACCUUAUACCCCCAGCCCUACCCCACCAUAUGUACCAUCACCACCGUAUACCCCAAGCCCUACCCCGCCAUAUGUACCAUCACCACCGUAUACCCCAAGCCCUAGCCCACCACCACCACCAAGUGGAACACCGUGUCCUCCGCCGCCGCCACCAACUUGUCCCAUUGAUACUCUCAAGCUUGGUGCAUGCGUCGACGUGUUGGGUGGUCUAGUACACAUCGGUAUAGGCAGCAGUGCAAAGGACGCUUGCUGCCCCGUGCUGCAGGGGCUACUGGACUUGGAUGCUGCAUUAUGUCUUUGCACCACCAUUAAACUUAAGCUUUUGAAUAUCAAUCUUAUUAUACCGAUCGCCCUUGAAGUGCUUAUUGACUGCGGCAAGCAUCCGCCGCCCGGAUUCCAGUGUCCUGCCUAAUUGGUGACGCUUUCCAGCCAUGCAAUUGAUGAAUGCGACUUGUUUGUUUUGGAGAUUUUGUCAAAGAUAAUGACAUGUAAGUGCAUAAAGUGGAAGUACUUCAUGAUAUCGAAGUUUGUCUUAAUAUAUGUUUUGUUCCUCUUGUGCAUAUCAAACCAAUUAUCUUUGGAGCAAAAUCUAUGUUUUGAUGGAUCCAUACUAUCUGCAAGUUUGGGAUUAUGGGGUGUCAAAUAAUCACUUAUUUGACCCAAAUUUUAUUUGAGUUGUCCAAUUAGUAGUAACCAUCAAAUAAUUUAUUAUCACACAUAAUUUUGAGAGUAAAUUCUCAAUUGACCAUUAAAAAAAAAAUCACAAC